GAGUGGCGAACUGGUGAGUAACACGUGGGUAACCUGCCCCGAAGCGGGGGAUAACAUUUGGAAACAAGUGCUAAUACCGCAUAAUUAGUUGGAACCGCAUGGUUCCAACUUGAAAGAUGGCUCUGCUNUCACUUUGGGAUGGACCCGCGCCGUAUUAGUUAGUUGGUGAGAUAAAAGCCCACCAAGACGAUGAUACGUAGCCGACCUGAGAGGGUAAUCGGCCACAUUGGGACUGAGACACGGCCCAGACUCCUACGGGAGGCAGCAGUAGGGAAUCUUCCACAAUGGACGAAAGUCUGAUGGAGCAACGCCGCGUGAGUGAUGAAGGUUUUCGGAUCGUAAAACUCUGUUGUUAAAGAAGAACAAGUGUUAGAGUAACUGUUAACACUUUGACGGUAUUUAACCAGAAAGCCACGGCUAACUACGUGCCAGCAGCCGCGGUAAUACGUAGGUGGCAAGCGUUGUCCGGAUUUAUUGGGCGUAAAGCGAGCGCAGGCGGUUUUGUAAGUCUGCUGUGAAAGCCCUCAGCUCAACUGAGGAAGUGCAGUGGAAACUACAAAACUUGAGUACAGAAGAGGAAAGUGGAACUCCAUGUGUAGCGGUGAAAUGCGUA
This 613-nucleotide ribosomal RNA is filed under the name Apilactobacillus kunkeei. RNAcentral's name for it is "bacterial SSU rRNA". It matches the Rfam family "Bacterial small subunit ribosomal RNA", at positions 93 to 692 of the family's 1533-position model. Lineage: Bacteria; Bacillati; Bacillota; Bacilli; Lactobacillales; Lactobacillaceae. The record is from RNAcentral.